Molecule: ribosomal RNA, 253 nt
Filed under: uncultured bacterium
Lineage: Bacteria
Description: partial 16S ribosomal RNA
Rfam family: Bacterial small subunit ribosomal RNA
Source: RNAcentral
UACGUAGGGCGCAAGCGUUGUCCGGAAUUAUUGGGCGUAAAGGGCUCGUAGGCGGUUUGUCGCGUCGGGAGUGAAAACUCAGGGCUUAACCCUGAGCCUGCUUCCGAUACGGGCAGACUAGAGGUAUGCAGGGGAGAACGGAAUUCCUGGUGUAGCGGUGAAAUGCGCAGAUAUCAGGAGGAACACCGGUGGCGAAGGCGGUUCUCUGGGCAUUACCUGACGCUGAGGAGCGAAAGUGUGGGGAGCGAACAGG